AAGGGAAUAGAAGGGCGGGUAGAUCAAUGUGAUGAUAGCACCACGCCAGGCACCGAAGACGAAAGCGAAAUCGCGAGGGUGAGCUAACUCCAAAAACCCGUCCUCAGUUCGGAUUGCAGGCUGCAACUCGCCUGCAUGAAGCAGGAAUCGCUAGUAAUCGCCGGUCAGCCAUACGGCGGUGAAUCCGUUCCCGGGCCUUGUACA
Molecule: non-coding RNA, 204 nt
Filed under: Triticum aestivum (bread wheat)
Lineage: Eukaryota; Viridiplantae; Streptophyta; Magnoliopsida; Poales; Poaceae
Description: Bacterial small subunit ribosomal RNA
Rfam family: Bacterial small subunit ribosomal RNA
Source: Rfam by way of RNAcentral